UCCAGACUCCUACGGGAGGCAGCAGUGAGGAAUAUUGGUCAAUGGGCGCGAGCCUGAACCAGCCAAGUCGCGUGAGGGAGGACGGCCCUACGGGUUGUAAACCUCUUUUGCCGGGGAGCAACGGGCGUCACGUGUGGCGCCACUGAGAGUACCCGGAGAAAAAGCAUCGGCUAACUCCGUGCCAGCAGCCGCGGUAAUACGGAGGAUGCGAGCGUUAUCCGGAUUUAUUGGGUUUAAAGGGUGCGCAGGCGGAUUUUUAAGUCAGCGGUCAAAUCGUGGGGCUCAACCCCAUCCAGCCGUUGAAACUGGGGAUCUAGAGUGUCCGAGAGGUAUGCGGAAUGCGCAGUGUAGCGGUGAAAUGCUUAGAUAUUGCGCAGAACUCCGAUUGCGAAGGCAGCAUACCGGCGGCGAUCUGACGCUGAGGCACGAAAGCGUGGGAAUCGAACAGGAUUAGAUACCCUUGUA
Molecule: ribosomal RNA, 465 nt
Filed under: uncultured bacterium
Lineage: Bacteria
Description: bacterial SSU rRNA
Rfam family: Bacterial small subunit ribosomal RNA
Source: RNAcentral